AUUGAACGCUGGCGGCAUGCUUUACACAUGCAAGUCGAGCGGCAGCGCGGGGGCAACCCUGGCGGCGAGCGGCGAACGGGUGAGUAACACAUCGGAACGUGUCCUGUCGUGGGGGAUAACCUGGCGAAAGCCAGGCUAAUACCGCAUGAGCUCGGGAGAGGAAAGCGGGGGACCUGCAAGGGCCUCGCGCGACUGGAGCGGCCGAUGUCCGAUUAGCUAGAGGUGGGGUAAAGGCCCACCUAGGCGACGAUCGGUAGCUGGUCUGAGAGGAUGAUCAGCCACACUGGGACUGAGACACGGCCCAGACUCCUACGGGAGGCAGCAGUGGGAAUUUUGGACAAUGGGGCAACCCUGAUCCAGCCAUGCCGCGUGAGUGAAGAAGGCC
RNAcentral lists this ribosomal RNA (385 nucleotides) under uncultured bacterium. RNAcentral's name for it is "bacterial SSU rRNA". It matches the Rfam family "Bacterial small subunit ribosomal RNA", at positions 28 to 416 of the family's 1533-position model. The record is from RNAcentral.